This is a non-coding RNA of Pelobates cultripes (western spadefoot toad), 206 nucleotides long. Lineage: Eukaryota; Metazoa; Chordata; Amphibia; Anura; Pelobatidae. The record is from the annotation of a GenBank genome assembly.
CCAGCAAUUAAGGGUUCAUUCCCUGUGCACCUGGUGUGAUGCCCCUACUAUAUGUGUGCUGCACUGUGCUACUGAGUGGAGACAGGCUGCUACAGCCUCUUUACUGCUGGAUAUGAUCUCCAGGACAUACUGCCUAAAGCAAGCAUGUCAAACUCAAAGUCUAGCAUGGGCCACAUAAACAAGGUUUUAGUUUAUGUGGGCAGCAC